UGUGUGACUGCGAGCGGCGG
This 20-nucleotide unclassified non-coding RNA is filed under the name Chlamydomonas reinhardtii. Its description in RNAcentral is "small RNA Cre_3628". The record is from RNAcentral. Lineage: Eukaryota; Viridiplantae; Chlorophyta; Chlorophyceae; Chlamydomonadales; Chlamydomonadaceae.